Molecule: unclassified non-coding RNA, 309 nt
Organism: Bison bison bison
Lineage: Eukaryota; Metazoa; Chordata; Mammalia; Artiodactyla; Bovidae
Gene: 7SK
Rfam family: 7SK RNA
About the family: 7SK was discovered as an abundant small nuclear RNA in the mid-70s but a possible function has only recently been suggested. Two independent studies have found that 7SK RNA binds the CDK9/cyclin T complex (known as elongation factor P-TEFb).
Source: Ensembl
AGGAAAGUUGAUCAGGAGGACUUCUCUGCUAACCUACGAAUCUCCUGGGUUAAUUCUGCUGAUUCAGCCAGAGAGGUUUCCUCCUCAGCUUAGCUCUCACUAUUUCUUAUUGUUGCUCUGAGCCCAGAGAAGAGUCAGCUUCCUCUGAUGGAGGAGACCCGUCUUCUGCCAAGGGUAUUGAGUAACUGUUCUUGCCUGUUAGAAUCUCCAAACCAAUGACCAAGAUCCUAAUAAACGAGGGGCCGCCAUUAUUGCCCAGAUAAUUAAGACAAAUGAGUGAAAUUUCUUUGAGGAAAAGUAAAUUUCUAU